AUGGUGGCGGUCUCGGAGGCGGCAUCGGCCAUGGGCUCGGUGGUGGCAUCGGAAAUGGCGGUGGUCUCGGCGGUGGCUUUGGCAAAGGUGGUGGACUAGGCGGCGGCGGAGGCGGCGGAGGAGGUGGUGGUGGUGGUGGCGGCGGUUUUGGCGAAGGCUUUGGCAAGGGAGGUGGGUUCGGUUUCGGGAUCGGCAAAGGUGGCGGUGGCGGCAUCGGCGGCGGCCACUGAUGUUGUAGUAUGUACGUUUGGCUCAGCUCUGUUCUGCGGAGCGCCGUUGGUCAUCAUAGUAUUCUGUCGAUGUGAGCAGUACGUGUGAUGAAAGAGAUUUUCCCUUGUAGAAACUCACUACUAGCAUUUUGUUGUGUCUCGUUCUGUUCUCUGUGGGAGAGAUAUUCUCGCGCAUGUACGUUGGUGAUGGUAAUAUAUGAGUAUCUUGUAUGCCUUGGUCCAUGCCAGUGUUUGCUCCAGUGAUUUGAAAUUUAAAUUAGGUACAAGUAAAUAAGAAGUGUUCAAACUUCAGAAGCUACCUGCUAGUGUUGAAAGUUCAGGAUGUUCAGAACAGAGCAAGCAUAGCAAAGCAGAGGAAGGGUAGGAAGGAACGACAUGCAGCAAUGCAAAAGCUUUCGGCAGCUGCUCAACCGGCUGACGGCCUGAAAUCUUUGCUCGCUUAGUGUCCAGACUCCAGAGCUCCAGAUUGUGUGUAGUUUGCACCUAAGAGUGGUCAACAUGUAAACAGUGCUUAAUCACUGUAAACCAAACUUGGGCACAUGUUCUUCGGUAUAAGUCUGGUUUACAUUAACUUUACUAAACACGACCCGGUUUGGUUUACUAAAUACGACCCGAG
Molecule: long non-coding RNA, 846 nt
Filed under: Triticum aestivum (bread wheat)
Lineage: Eukaryota; Viridiplantae; Streptophyta; Magnoliopsida; Poales; Poaceae
Description: long non-coding RNA (TAES_LNC008410)
Source: RNAcentral